RNAcentral lists this ribosomal RNA (515 nucleotides) under uncultured Alternaria. RNAcentral's name for it is "eukaryotic LSU rRNA". The stretch from base 170 to 323 matches the Rfam family "5.8S ribosomal RNA". Lineage: Eukaryota; Fungi; Ascomycota; Dothideomycetes; Pleosporales; Pleosporaceae. The record is from RNAcentral.
AUUACACAAAUAUGAAGGCGGGCUGGAACCUCUCGGGGUUACAGCCUUGCUGAAUUAUUCACCCUUGUCUUUUGCGUACUUCUUGUUUCCUUGGUGGGUUCGCCCACCACUAGGACAAACAUAAACCUUUUGUAAUUGCAAUCAGCGUCAGUAACAAAUUAAUAAUUACAACUUUCAACAACGGAUCUCUUGGUUCUGGCAUCGAUGAAGAACGCAGCGAAAUGCGAUAAGUAGUGUGAAUUGCAGAAUUCAGUGAAUCAUCGAAUCUUUGAACGCACAUUGCGCCCUUUGGUAUUCCAAAGGGCAUGCCUGUUCGAGCGUCAUUUGUACCCUCAAGCUUUGCUUGGUGUUGGGCGUCUUGUCUCUAGCUUUGCUGGAGACUCGCCUUAAAGUAAUUGGCAGCCGGCCUACUGGUUUCGGAGCGCAGCACAAGUCGCACUCUCUAUCAGCAAAGGUCUAGCAUCCAUUAAGCCUUUUUUUCAACUUUUGACCUCGGAUCAGGUAGGGAUACCCGC